Molecule: long non-coding RNA, 166 nt
Organism: Dioscorea cayenensis subsp. rotundata (Guinea yam)
Lineage: Eukaryota; Viridiplantae; Streptophyta; Magnoliopsida; Dioscoreales; Dioscoreaceae
Exons: 3
Source: RefSeq, a predicted model, not a curated record
GACGAGGGAGAAGGGUCUCAUCGUCACGGAUUUCAUUUCACUGUUAUUGUUGAGGACUUCCUGAGAAAUACUCGGUUGGUGUAAGAAUUCAAAAAUCUGGUUGUUAAUCAGGUUUUGAGGCCUUGUAUGCCUACUUGGUUUCGGCCUUCUAGGUGUACGGCCGUUU